UGGGGAAUAUUGCACAAUGGAGGGAACUCUGAUGCAGCGACGCCGCGUGAGUGAUGAAGGAAUUCGUUUCGUAAAACUCUGUUCUAUGGGAAGAAAAGGACUGUACCAUAGGAGAAAGCUCCGGCUAAAUACGUGCCAGCAGCCGCGGUAAUACGUAUGGAGCGAGCGUUGUCCGGAAUUAUUGGGCGUAAAGGGUGCGCAGGCGGCUUUACAAAUUGGAUGUGAAAUAUUGUGGCUCAACCACAAACGUGCAUCCAAAACUGCAAAGCUUGAGUUAAGGAGAGGUAAGUGGAAUUCCUGGUGUAGCGGUGGAAUGCGUAGAUAUCAGGAGGAAUACCGGUGGCGAAGGCGACUUACUGGACUUAAGCUGACGCUCAGGCACGAAAGCGUGGGGAGCAAACAGG
Molecule: ribosomal RNA, 404 nt
Filed under: Fusobacteriota bacterium
Lineage: Bacteria; Fusobacteriati; Fusobacteriota
Description: Fusobacteria bacterium partial 16S ribosomal RNA
Rfam family: Bacterial small subunit ribosomal RNA
Source: RNAcentral